ACGAACGCUGGCGGCGUGCUUCACACCUGCAAGUCGCACGGAAAGACCCUGCUUUUGUGGGGUGCUCGAGUGGCGAACGGGUGAGUAACACGUGAGUAACCUGCCCUUGACUUUGGGAUAACUUCAGGAAACUGGGGCUAAUACCGGAUAGGAGCUCCUGCUGCAUGGUGGGGGUUGGAAAGUUUCGGCGGUUGGGGAUGGACUCGCGGCUUAUCAGCUUGUUGGUGGGGUAGUGGCUUACCAAGGCUUUGACGGGUAGCCGGCCUGAGAGGGUGACCGGCCACAUUGGGACUGAGAUACGGCCCAGACUCCUACGGGAGGCAGCAGUGGGGAAUAUUGCACAAUGGGCGGAAGCCUGAUGCAGCAACGCCGCGUGCGGGAUGACGGCCUUCGGGUUGUAAACCGCUUUCGCCUGUGACGAAGCGUGAGUGACGGUAAUGGGUAAAGAAGCACCGGCUAACUACGUG
This 467-nucleotide ribosomal RNA is filed under the name uncultured bacterium. RNAcentral's name for it is "partial 16S ribosomal RNA". It matches the Rfam family "Bacterial small subunit ribosomal RNA", at positions 29 to 507 of the family's 1533-position model. The record is from RNAcentral.